UACGAAGGGGGCUAGCGUUGCUCGGAAUCACUGGGCGUAAAGCGCACGUAGGCGGACUCUUAAGUCGGUGGUGAAAUCCUGGAGCUCAACUCCAGAACUGCCUCGAUACUGGGAGUCUCGAGUCCGGGAGAGGUGAGUGGAACUGCGAGUGUAGAGGUGAAAUUCGUAGAUAUUCGCAAGAACACCAGUGGCGAAGGCGGCUCACUGGCCCGGUACUGACGCUGAGGUGCGAAAGCGUGGGGAGCAAACAGG
Molecule: ribosomal RNA, 252 nt
Filed under: uncultured bacterium
Lineage: Bacteria
Description: partial 16S ribosomal RNA
Rfam family: Bacterial small subunit ribosomal RNA
Source: RNAcentral